UACCGUUUCCGUAGGUGUCUUUCUCAGGCUCGCCUACGGCCCGGGUCGACUUAAAAAACCCGCUCAGUCGAUUGCUUCGGCGAUCGGCCACGCAGGUCUUCUGUUCUGGAAGCUGUUCGGAAUUAACGCCGAAGAGUAACCAGCAGCUCUUGGAUCGUUGUUGAGGCGCCCAAGAGUUCACAGAUCACAUGCCUGCGACCACGUUAAUGUCGUGGCUCUGAUAUGACCGAACCCCCACCAGAAUUGGUCGGCGGAGUCGCGGAACCUGCGGAAGGAUCAUUAC
Molecule: ribosomal RNA, 283 nt
Filed under: Pyxine copelandii
Lineage: Eukaryota; Fungi; Ascomycota; Lecanoromycetes; Caliciales; Caliciaceae
Description: partial 18S ribosomal RNA
Source: RNAcentral